This 428-nucleotide ribosomal RNA is filed under the name Bacteroidota bacterium. RNAcentral's name for it is "Bacteroidetes bacterium partial 16S ribosomal RNA". It matches the Rfam family "Bacterial small subunit ribosomal RNA", at positions 355 to 776 of the family's 1533-position model. The record is from RNAcentral. Lineage: Bacteria; Pseudomonadati; Bacteroidota.
UAGGGAAUCUUCCGCAAUGGACGCAAGUCUGACGGAGCAACGCCGCGUGAGUGAAGAAGGAUUUCGGUUCGUAAAACUCUGUUGUUAGAGAAGAACAGCGCAUAGAGUAACUGUUAUGCGUGUGACGGUACCGGAAUAGAAAGCCACGGCUAACUACGUGCCAGCAGCCGCGGUAAUACGUAGGUGGCAAGCGUUGUCCGGAAUUAUUGGGCGUAAAGCGCGCGCAGGCGGACUAGCCAGUCAGUCUUAAAAGUUCGGGGCUUAACCCCGUGAUGGGAUUGAAACUACUAGUCUAGAGUAUCGGAGAGGAAAGUGGAAUUCCUAGUGUAGCGGUGAAAUGCGUAGAUAUUAGGAAGAACACCAGUGGCGAAGGCGACUUUCUGGACGAACACUGACGCUGAGGCGCGAAAGCCAGGGGAGCGAACGGG